This 761-nucleotide ribosomal RNA is filed under the name Orthocoelium streptocoelium. RNAcentral describes it as "12S ribosomal RNA". Lineage: Eukaryota; Metazoa; Platyhelminthes; Trematoda; Plagiorchiida; Paramphistomidae. The record is from RNAcentral.
UUUGUGAUUUAUUUAGUUCUGGUUAUGGAAGAGGUUUUGGGUGUCGGUCACAUAAAAAGUUUGUAGAAUCGUUACAUAUAUGGAUGGGAUUAUAUGGUAUUAGUGACGAAUUCUUGUAUUUAAGGUAACUUAGAACAGGGUGCCCUUAUGUAAGGAAUGGUGAACUCUCAGUGCCAGCUUCCGCGGUUAUUCUGUGGUUUCUCUCUUCUUGUCAGUUGAAAUUUUUUAAAAGUAAGUAGUGAAGAUUAGGGUAGAAUUUUCUUUGUUUAGUAUAAAGCUUUUAAUUUAAUAUGUAGAUUUCUUUUCUAAAAAAGGAUUAGAUACCCUUGUAUAAGAAGGGGUAGAAUUUUGAUGUCUGUAGUGUGAACUAAAAGAAAUUGGCAGCCGACGAGGUUCGUCCGGGGGAGCGUGUUCUUUAAAAAGACGGUCCGCUUAGUAGUUUACCUCUUUUAUAGGUUAGUGUAUAUCCGGUUUAAGAUCUGUAAUUUAUGUUGCGGGUGAAAGAUAUUUAUGCAUUUAAUCCAGGUCUUUGUGCUGCUGAUAGGGAGGGUGUUUAAUGCGCUACAUUGUGAAAAGGCCGUAAAAUAAUUAAGGGUGUAUUUAGGACUCGGUAGUAGGGAGAGUUUAGUUUGCUUUCUCGAAAAGGAUUUAGUUGGGGUACACACCGCCCGUCACUCAGGGUGUUAGCUCUGAUAAGUCGUAACAUGGUAAUGUCGGGGGAACCGGACGUUAGUAAGUUCAUUUGUGUAUUGGAUGGAUUU